Long non-coding RNA from Phacochoerus africanus (Common warthog), 853 nucleotides. RefSeq lists it as uncharacterized. The record is from RefSeq and is a predicted model, not a curated record. NCBI's taxonomy places the organism in Eukaryota, Metazoa, Chordata, Mammalia, Artiodactyla, Suidae. The transcript is spliced from 3 exons.
UCGUUCUCACUCUUCGUCCUGGGUUUCCUAACCCUGGAGCCCUGGCUCUUCCUCAAGACGGGGGCCACGCUGAAGCCCUGAGCUGCACCCAAUUAGUCAGGUUUUGAUGCCAUGCCAGGCAACAAAUAUUUAUCCAAUGCAUUCUGUUCCAGGCUUCAAGCAAGCAGUGAUAGCGAGCCGGGCAAGGUUCCUGCACACACAGCUUCUAGAAGCCUGGUAGUGCAGAGACACAAUCCAACAAUUCGAAACAGGGCAUAAAGGCGCUGCGGCUUGAUCCACGGUGCUAGUAAGGAGGAAGAACAGGGCAGUGACAAGGUCCUUCUGGACAGGUUGAAAUCCACAUGUCUACUGGACACUAAGCCUUGAGCUACCGUGCUCUGUGCCCCCAAACAGGAGCCUGGGGCAAAGUUCCAGACUGGCCGCCCCCUACACACAGCUGGUGAGAAGAUGCAAAGAUGUGAAGGCCUACAGCACAGAAGCUGCUGGCAGAGAAUGACCGACCCCGCAAAGGACCAGAAAGGCCGCAGACGGAGAGGGAUGUGGCCCAGGUGUGGCGUGCUGCUCAGAGGGCGGCUACUUCUGGGGGGCCACAUGGAGCCUGACCCGUCCUUGUCAUUCUUAAGCCGGUUUUUGGACCCGGUUGCUCUCCUCUGACCACGGCCCAGUCUGUUGGCUGUUAGAGUCCUGCUCAGAUCUGAACUCCACCCACCUGGGUGGGUCCUGCCGGCUUGCAAGGUAGGACGUCACCUCCCUCUUUCUCGAUGCCAUUUUCUGCCAAGCUGCCUCUCCCAUGGCUGCAUUGCCCUCAAUUGUACAACGAACUCUAAUAAAACUGGGAGAGAGCCUGAGAUUC